This 29-nucleotide small RNA is filed under the name Bombyx mori (domestic silkworm). RNAcentral's name for it is "ovarian small RNA-32840". The record is from RNAcentral. Lineage: Eukaryota; Metazoa; Arthropoda; Insecta; Lepidoptera; Bombycidae.
UGAUGAUGUUAUUCGUGCGCAGCUUCUGU